Molecule: ribosomal RNA, 251 nt
Filed under: uncultured Gardnerella sp.
Lineage: Bacteria; Bacillati; Actinomycetota; Actinomycetes; Bifidobacteriales; Bifidobacteriaceae
Description: partial 16S ribosomal RNA
Rfam family: Bacterial small subunit ribosomal RNA
Source: RNAcentral
CGGGUGAGUAAUGCGUGACCAACCUGCCCCAUGCUCCAGAAUAGCUCUUGGAAACGGGUGGUAAUGCUGGAUGCUCCAACUUGACGCAUGUCUUGUUGGGAAAGUGUUUAGUGGCAUGGGAUGGGGUCGCGUCCUAUCAGCUUGUAGGCGGGGUAAUGGCCCACCUAGGCUUCGACGGGUAGCCGGCCUGAGAGGGCGGACGGCCACAUUGGGACUGAGAUACGGCCCAGACUCCUACGGGAGGCAGCAGA